GGGUUGUGAGGUUAAGCGACUAAGCGUACACGGUGGAUGCCCUGGCAGUCAGAGGCGAUGAAGGACGUGCUAAUCUGCGAAAAGCGUCGGUAAGGUGAUAUGAACCGUUACAGCCGGCGAUGUCCGAAUGGGGAAACCCAGUGCAAUUCGUUGCACUAUCGUUAACUGAAUACAUAGGUUAACGAGGCGAACCGGGGGAACUGAAACAUCUAAGUACCCCGAGGAAAAGAAAUCAACCGAGAUUCCCCCAGUAGCGGCGAGCGAACGGGGAGCAGCCCAGAGUCUGAAUCAGCUUGUGUGUUAGUGGAACGGUCUGGAAAGUCCGACGGUACAGGGUGAUAGUCCCGUACACCAAAAUGCACAGGCUGUGAACUCGAAGAGUAGGGCGGGACACGUGGUAUCCUGUCUGAAUAUGGGGGGACCAUCCUCCAAGGCUAAAUACUCCUGACUGACCGAUAGUGAACCAGUACCGUGAGGGAAAGGCGAAAAGAACCCCGGCGAGGGGAGUGAAAAAGAACCUGAAACCGUGUACGUACAAGCAGUGGGAGCACCUUCGGGUGUGACUGCGUACCUUUUGUAUAAUGGGUCAGCGACUUAUAUUCUGUAGCAAGGUUAACCGUAUAGGGGAGCCGCAGGGAAACCGAGUCUUAACUGGGCGUUAAGUUGCAGGGUAUAGACCCGAAACCCGGUGAUCUAGCCAUGGGCAGGUUGAAGGUUGGGUAACACUAACUGGAGGACCGAACCGACUAAUGUUGAAAAAUUAGCGGAUGACUUGUGGCUGGGGGUGAAAGGCCAAUCAAACCGGGAGAUAGCUGGUUCUCCCCGAAAGCUAUUUAGGUAGCGCCUCGUGAAUUCAUCUUCGGGGGUAGAGCACUGUUUCGGCUAGGGGGUCAUCCCGACUUACCAACCCGAUGCAAACUACGAAUACCGAAGAAUGUUAUCACGGGAGACACACGGCGGGUGCUAACGUCCGUCGUGAAGAGGGAAACAACCCAGACCGCCAGCUAAGGUCCCAAAGUCAUGGUUAAGUGGGAAACGAUGUGGGAAGGCACAGACAGCCAGGAUGUUGGCUUAGAAGCAGCCAUCAUUUAAAGAAAGCGUAAUAGCUCACUGGUCGAGUCGGCCUGCGCGGAAGAUGUAACGGGGCUAAACCAUGCACCGAAGCUGCGGCAGCGACACUAUGUGUUGUUGGGUAGGGGAGCGUUCUGUAAGCCUGCGAAGGUGACCUGUGAGGGUUGCUGGAGGUAUCAGAAGUGCGAAUGCUGACAUAAGUAACGAUAAAGCGGGUGAAAAGCCCGCUCGCCGGAAGACCAAGGGUUCCUGUCCAACGUUAAUCGGGGCAGGGUGAGUCGACCCCUAAGGCGAGGCCGAAAGGCGUAGUCGAUGGGAAACAGGUUAAUAUUCCUGUACUUGGUGUUACUGCGAAGGGGGGACGGAGAAGGCUAUGUUAGCCGGGCGACGGUUGUCCCGGUUUAAGCAUGUAGGCUGGUUAUCCAGGCAAAUCCGGAUAAUCAAGGCUGAGGUGUGAUGACGAGGCACUACGGUGCUGAAGUAACAAAUGCCCUGCUUCCAGGAAAAGCCUCUAAGCAUCAGGUAACAUUAAAUCGUACCCCAAACCGACACAGGUGGUCAGGUAGAGAAUACCAAGGCGCUUGAGAGAACUCGGGUGAAGGAACUAGGCAAAAUGGUGCCGUAACUUCGGGAGAAGGCACGCUGGUGUGUAGGUGAAGUCCCUGCGGAUGGAGCUGAGACCAGUCGAAGAUACCAGCUGGCUGCAACUGUUUAUUAAAAACACAGCACUGUGCAAACACGAAAGUGGACGUAUACGGUGUGACGCCUGCCCGGUGCCGGAAGGUUAAUUGAUGGGGUUAUCCGUAAGGAGAAGCUCUUGAUCGAAGCCCCGGUAAACGGCGGCCGUAACUAUAACGGUCCUAAGGUAGCGAAAUUCCUUGUCGGGUAAGUUCCGACCUGCACGAAUGGCGUAAUGAUGGCCAGGCUGUCUCCACCCGAGACUCAGUGAAAUUGAACUCGCUGUGAAGAUGCAGUGUACCCGCGGCAAGACGGAAAGACCCCGUGAACCUUUACUAUAGCUUGACACUGAACAUUGAGCCUUGAUGUGUAGGAUAGGUGGGAGGCUUUGAAGCGUGGACGCCAGUCUGCGUGGAGCCAACCUUGAAAUACCACCCUUUAAUGUUUGAUGUUCUAACGUUGGCCCCUUACCGGGGUUGCGGACAGUGUCUGGUGGGUAGUUUGACUGGGGCGGUCUCCUCCCAAAGCGUAACGGAGGAGCACGAAGGUUAGCUAAUCCUGGUCGGACAUCAGGAGGUUAGUGCAAUGGCAUAAGCUAGCUUGACUGCGAGCGUGACGGCGCGAGCAGGUGCGAAAGCAGGUCAUAGUGAUCCGGUGGUUCUGAAUGGAAGGGCCAUCGCUCAACGGAUAAAAGGUACUCCGGGGAUAACAGGCUGAUACCGCCCAAGAGUUCAUAUCGACGGCGGUGUUUGGCACCUCGAUGUCGGCUCAUCACAUCCUGGGGCUGAAGUAGGUCCCAAGGGUAUGGCUGUUCGCCAUUUAAAGUGGUACGCGAGCUGGGUUUAGAACGUCGUGAGACAGUUCGGUCCCUAUCUGCCGUGGGCGCUGGAGAAUUGAGGGGGGCUGCUCCUAGUACGAGAGGACCGGAGUGGACGCAUCACUGGUGUUCGGGUUGUCAUGCCAAUGGCACUGCCCGGUAGCUAAAUGCGGAAGAGAUAAGUGCUGAAAGCAUCUAAGCACGAAACUUGCCCCGAGAUGAGUUCUCCCUGAGACUUUAAGUCUCCUGAAGGAACGUUAAAGACGAUGACGUUGAUAGGCCGGGUGUGUAAGCGCAGCGAUGCGUUGAGCUAACCGGUACUAAUGAACCGUGAGGCUUAACCUUACAACGCCGAAG
RNAcentral lists this ribosomal RNA (2923 nucleotides) under Klebsiella pneumoniae. RNAcentral's name for it is "bacterial LSU rRNA". It matches the Rfam family "Bacterial large subunit ribosomal RNA". RNAcentral also lists the same sequence under 1 other name. The record is from RNAcentral. Lineage: Bacteria; Pseudomonadati; Pseudomonadota; Gammaproteobacteria; Enterobacterales; Enterobacteriaceae.